Molecule: long non-coding RNA, 1726 nt
Organism: Equus caballus (horse)
Lineage: Eukaryota; Metazoa; Chordata; Mammalia; Perissodactyla; Equidae
Source: Ensembl
CCUGCCUGCAGGCAGCUGAGGAGAACAGGCCUACACAGAGUCCCACCUCCUCCUCCCUACUAUCUGGCCUGUCCAGUCUGGAGAUGUCCCCAGUUCGUUGGUGAAUUUAUUUAGGCUCAAAUGGCCUUUCCAUGGUCACAAAGCCAGCUGAACGAGGAGGAAAGAACCCAGGUUCACCGCAGGGUUCAGAAGGCAGCAAGGGCUGCAGCAGCCCAGCAGGGGACUGCUGAACAUGGCAGUGCUCAGGCCCCUGUCACCCACGUGUGCCUUAGACCCGCCCCUGUGAAGCCCCGCCCCCUGCGUACAGACUGUGGUUUCCAGGGCCACAUAAACAAGCCAGUUCUUUUUCCCUUAGUUCAUUCAUUAAUUCCUUUAAUGUCUGUAAUUGUAGCACACGUUUUGUCCUUUGUCAGCCUUCAUUACAGUGAGGUUUACAUUUGGUAGUUUUUUUAUUCUUUGUUUUGACCUUUAUUUUGGUAGCAGACAGUUUUUUUUCAGUCAAAAUUAGAGUGACCUUUAUUAACAGAAAAAAAUAGGUCAUAAUCCCAUCACAGAUUAUUGCAUUUCCCACGGAAUUUUCUGUUGAGUCCAUUAUAUCAAAAAAACCCAAUGAUUGUUGAGGGAAACACUUCCUUGAAUACUCCCAUCGAAAGCCUGUUGCCCAUGAUUUGAUGAAUUGACGUUCAUCAGAGAGAAAGACGUUCUGAGAACGAAGGAGGCAAGGCAAGCUUUGCCUGCUUAAUGCUUGGACUGUCUGUGAGUAAAAACCCAGAGAAAGACAGCUGCCAACUGAGUUAUUGACAAUUCAGCCACUGGAAAAAUGAGCCCUGCUGGACACAUCCCAGAGAAAGCUGUACAGAGAUGUGAUGCUGGGAAAUAUCAGUCAUCUGGUCUCCAUGGACUGAAGAUUCUGCAUUCUGUCCUUGAACUUGGGCAUGGACAUCAGCAUCCAGAGGUCCUCAAAAUUUUGGACAAACAAUCCAGAUUUCUUCCUUGUCUGGUGAAGGACCUUCAGUGUUUUCCCUGUUCAGGGUGUUGUUGCCUGAGCUGAACUUCAGUGUUCUCCUCAUUCUUCCUCAGUAGCCUGUCCUGGACUUGAUGAUAAUGCAGGUUAUUAUCAUGGAACUCAAAAUCCACCUGCCUUUGUUGCAUGAACAGGGUAUCAGCAUUGCAAAUCAGAUGUGAUUUUCCAGUUGGAGCAAGAAGAGCUGUGGAGUGAAGGAACAGGAUUUUUCCAAGGCCAGAGUCCAGGCAGGGAGAGUGGCCGUAAAGAACAAGAAAUGAUAGACACACAGCUUAUCAGCAAGGACACAUCUGCAAACACACCAAUGAGCAGAAAUCUCACACUCUAGGGAAUCCAUUUGAAUGUAAUCAUUUGGGAGAAGAUUUCACUCAUAACUCAACACUGACUCAACAUUUGUUAACUUACACGAAUACUCACACAUUAACUCACCCUGUAUCAGCAAACAGUGUCAAAAAUCCCUUAGUGACCACUCAUACUUGAAUCAACAUAAGCAGAGUCUCUCUAGAGGUGAAUCCUGUGAGUGCCAUCUGUGUGGGAAAGCCUUUAGUAACUGCUCUAGCCUUAGAUGACAUGAGAUGACUGAUACUGGAGAGAAACUGUACGAAUGCCAUAUAUGCGGGAAUGCCUUUAUUCAAAGCUCUGACCUUAGAAAACAUAAUCUAACUCGCACUGGAGAGAAACCAUAUGAAUGUCACCUCGGUG